GCUGGGCAUGGUGGUGCAUGCCUGAAAUCCCAGUAGCUCAGGAGGCUGAGGCAGAAGGAUUGUGAGUUCAAAGCCAACCUCAGCAAUAGCAAGGUGCUAAGCAACUCGGUGAAAUCCUGUCUCUA
RNAcentral lists this small RNA (125 nucleotides) under Marmota monax (woodchuck). Lineage: Eukaryota; Metazoa; Chordata; Mammalia; Rodentia; Sciuridae. The record is from RNAcentral.